UCGACUUUUGUGAGACAACGGAGAAGUGCCUCCUCUAUAAGUACUCCCCUCCCCUCUAUAGCCCUCCACCAACGACGAUUGCACCUCCUUCUCUCUCUUUUCUUCCUUCAAAAUUGCAGCAUCCAGUUACCGUGCCCAUCGGAAUUUCAAGUUGUGGUGCUCGUCAGAGUCAAGUGAUGUUGCAGCCUGCCCGUUGCAUAGCAGCCCAACAUCUUCAUUCCCAUUUGGCACCAAGGCCCACUUCUCCAACGUGGUGGGCUGGUUGUUGCUCAUUGCCUAAAAGGCCCAAUUCCAAUCCCCAACUCUGUUCUCCUCUUCCAUUUUGGAUAUUAAUCCCUUUCUAUUCCCGCUGUGUGUGUGUGUGUGUGAGAGAGAGAGAGAGAGAAUGAGAGAGAUAGAGGCCCCUAGGAAUCUCCCGGCCAUAGAUUCCUGGUUCUUGCUCUCUUCUAGUACUCUAAGGUAAGCCCCCAAAGUCCCUACUUGUCCUCCUUUUUUCCUGAAUUUUUAUGGUUUUUUGGUGCUUUUUUGGUGUUUGGAUCGCUGGGUUUGCUAAAAAUGUUUUUCUUUUCAUGUAUGUGUAGGUGUGUGGUUGUAUGCAUGUGUGUGUCCGUGUGUGGUGUGGAAGGGGUUGUCUUGGUUGUAGAUUUAUUUUAUUUGCUAGAUUAUAAAUUCUAGCUUUCUCUGUGUU
Long non-coding RNA from Phoenix dactylifera (date palm), 688 nucleotides. RefSeq lists it as uncharacterized. The record is from RefSeq and is a predicted model, not a curated record. NCBI's taxonomy places the organism in Eukaryota, Viridiplantae, Streptophyta, Magnoliopsida, Arecales, Arecaceae.